UCACCAAAGAUAGUUCAGUCAGCAGAGCAUGAGACGCUUAAUCUCAGGGUUAUGGGUUCAAGCCCUAGGCUGGGCAAAA
This is a non-coding RNA of Podarcis lilfordi (Lilford's wall lizard), 79 nucleotides long. NCBI's taxonomy places the organism in Eukaryota, Metazoa, Chordata, Lepidosauria, Squamata, Lacertidae. The record is from the annotation of a GenBank genome assembly.